AACGAACGCUGGCGGCAUGCCUAACACAUGCAAGUCGAACGAGACCUUCGGGUCUAGCGGCGCACGGGUGCGUAACGCGUGGGAACCUGCCCUUAGGUUCGGAAUAACUCCCCGAAAGGGGUGCUAAUACCGGAUAAUGUCUUCGGACCAAAGAUUUAUCGCCUUUGGAUGGGCCCGCGUUGGAUUAGCUAGUUGGUAGGGUAAAAGCCUACCAAGGCGACGAUCCAUAGCUGGUCUGAGAGGAUGAUCAGCCACACUGGGACUGAGACACGGCCCAGACUCCUACGGGAGGCAGCAGUGGGGAAUAUUGGACAAUGGGCGAAAGCCUGAUACAGCAAUGCCGCGUGAGUGAUGAAGGCCUUAGGGUUGUAAAGCUCUUUUACCCGGGAUGAUAAUGACAGUACCGGGAGAAUAAGCUCCGGCUAACUCCGUG
This 433-nucleotide ribosomal RNA is filed under the name uncultured bacterium. Its description in RNAcentral is "partial 16S ribosomal RNA". It matches the Rfam family "Bacterial small subunit ribosomal RNA", at positions 29 to 507 of the family's 1533-position model. The record is from RNAcentral.